CAGCCGCCGCGGUAAUACGUAUGUCACGAGCGCUAUCCGGAUUUAUUGGGCGUAAAGCGCGUCUAGGUGGUUAUGUAAGUCUGAUGUGAAAAUGCAGGGCUCAACUCUGUAUUGCGUUGGAAACUGUAUAACUAGAGUACUGGAGAGGUAAGCGGAACUACAAGUGUAGAGGUGAAAUUCGUAGAUAUUUGUAGGAAUGCCGAUGGGGAAGCCAGCUUACUGGACAGAUACUGACGCUGAAGCGCGAAAGCGUGGGUAGCAAACAGGAUUAGAUACCCGCGUAGUCCCUGUCUCUUAUACA
RNAcentral lists this ribosomal RNA (301 nucleotides) under uncultured bacterium. Its description in RNAcentral is "partial 16S ribosomal RNA". It matches the Rfam family "Bacterial small subunit ribosomal RNA", at positions 509 to 808 of the family's 1533-position model. The record is from RNAcentral.